This 497-nucleotide ribosomal RNA is filed under the name uncultured bacterium. RNAcentral's name for it is "partial 16S ribosomal RNA". It matches the Rfam family "Bacterial small subunit ribosomal RNA", at positions 28 to 507 of the family's 1533-position model. The record is from RNAcentral.
GAUGAACGCUGGCGGCGUGCCUAAUACAUGCAAGUCGAGCGAACGGACGAGAAGCUUGCUUCUCUGAUGUUAGCGGCGGACGGGUGAGUAACACGUGGAUAACCUACCUAUAAGACUGGGAUAACUUCGGGAAACCGGAGCUAAUACCGGAUAAUAUUUUGAACCGCAUGGUUCAAAAGUGAAAGACGGUCUUUCUGUCACUUAUAGAUGGAUCCGCGCUGCAUUAGCUAGUUGGUAAGGUAACGGCUUACCAAGGCAACGAUGCAUAGCCGACCUGAGAGGGUGAUCGGCCACACUGGAACUGAGACACGGUCCAGACUCCUACGGGAGGCAGCAGUAGGGAAUCUUCCGCAAUGGGCGAAAGCCUGACGGAGCAACGCCGCGUGAGUGAUGAAGGUCUUCGGAUCGUAAAACUCUGUUAUUAGGGAAGAACAUAUGUGUAAGUACCUGUGAACAUCUUGACGGUACCUAAUCAGAAAGCCCCGGCUAACUACGUG